CUUACAUGGAGAACAUCAAUAGUUAGCUGCUCAGAGUUCCGAGAUCUCAACUCCUGCAUUCGUUUGUUAUUUUCUUCAUAUUUUUCUUCUGCAAGCUUUCUGUAGAUUUAAAGUGAGUGUAGAAAAAACAGCUGCAUUUUGCUAAAGCCACAUCUAUACUAUGCAGCAAAUUCCUUUGGAGUCCUGUGAAGUGGCCAGAGCCCAAGGUACCCUAAGGAAAGGCAACUUACUUCAGCUUCCUGGCCUUCUCAUCAGCUGCCUGGAGCUUCCUCAGCCGCAUCCUUUCUCUUGGUGUCAUUUUCUGCACUUCAGACAGCGCCCGCAGAGUCUGCAGAGUCAUCUCCGAAUAUCUACACAUCAGGUGCUAAAAUAGAGAACAACCCUGAUGCACCUUAAAUACUCCUCUUCAGGCAUGAAAGGGCAUAAAACUACCAGGGGUCUUUUCUGAUGUGCAGCAUUAAUGACCAUGCCUGGGAGCUUGAAAAUAAAACCCACCGUGUUCCUGAUAAUGUAUGAUUACUUUUUCUUGGGUACUGGGUCCUCUUCCCAGCAAUCAAAUUGCAAAAGACGGAAGCCAUAGGCCUUCCUUUCAGCACCUUCAGCAUCAGCACUGCGCCCA
Long non-coding RNA from Neofelis nebulosa (Clouded leopard), 619 nucleotides. RefSeq lists it as uncharacterized. The record is from RefSeq and is a predicted model, not a curated record. Lineage: Eukaryota; Metazoa; Chordata; Mammalia; Carnivora; Felidae. The transcript is spliced from 4 exons.